RNAcentral lists this ribosomal RNA (499 nucleotides) under uncultured bacterium. Its description in RNAcentral is "bacterial SSU rRNA". It matches the Rfam family "Bacterial small subunit ribosomal RNA", at positions 899 to 1397 of the family's 1533-position model. The record is from RNAcentral.
ACUCAAAUGAAUAGACGGGGGCCCGCACAAGCGGUGGAGCAUGUGGUUUAAUUCGAUGCAACGCGAAGAACCUUACCAAGGUUUGACAUGGGGCCGGCAGGCGCGGAAACGCGCCCUCCCUACGGGGCGGCCCACACAGGUGGUGCAUGGUUGUCGUCAGCUCGUGUCGUGAGAUGUUGGGUUAAGUCCCGCAACGAGCGCAACCCCUGCCCUUAGUAGCCAGCGCGUAGAGGCGGGCACACUAGGGGGACUGCCGUGGACAACACGGAGGAAGGUGGGGAUGAGGUCAAAUCAUCAUGCCCCUUAUGCCUUGGGCUACACACGUGCUACAAUGGCCGCAACAGAGUGAAGCGGACCCGCGAGGGCGAGCCAACCACAAAAAAGCGGCCCCAGUUCGGAUUGCAGCCUGCAACCCGGCUGCAUGAAGCCGGAAUCGCUAGUAAUCGCGGAUCAGCACGCCGCGGUGAAUACGUUCCCGGGCCUUGUACACACCGCCCGU